CUGCAUCCGUUGGGGUGCCGCUAUCGUGGCUGAGAGGUUUUAACAAACCAACCCACCGAACCUGAUCCGGUCAGCACCGGCGGAGGGAACGGAGCAGGCAAAAUU
RNAcentral lists this non-coding RNA (105 nucleotides) under Roseovarius litorisediminis. RNAcentral's name for it is "Pelagicola litorisediminis TPP sequence". It matches the Rfam family "TPP riboswitch aptamer (THI element)". Rfam says of the family: Vitamin B(1) in its active form thiamin pyrophosphate (TPP) is an essential coenzyme that is synthesised by coupling of pyrimidine and thiazole moieties in bacteria. The previously detected thiamin-regulatory element, thi box was extended, resulting in a new, highly conserved RNA secondary structure, the THI element, which is widely distributed in eubacteria and also occurs in some archaea. Lineage: Bacteria; Pseudomonadati; Pseudomonadota; Alphaproteobacteria; Rhodobacterales; Roseobacteraceae. The record is from Rfam by way of RNAcentral.